This 28-nucleotide non-coding RNA is filed under the name Mus musculus (house mouse). Lineage: Eukaryota; Metazoa; Chordata; Mammalia; Rodentia; Muridae. The record is from RNAcentral.
UGAAAACCACGAUUUGAGUAGCUUCCUA